ACCGUCAGGAGUAGUAGCCUAGCUACUGUACGUAUGUGAUGUUGGACGCGCGUGCUUAUGUCACUUCCCUGUGCUCGCUCGUGCUAAUUAUUGGUGUGAUGCGUAUUGUCGCCUGCUAAAGUGCUACGUAUGUGUUGUCGUUGUAGUACCACGAUCGACUUGUAGAAGUACUGUGCUACUAGCUGGGAUCGUCGAGUGAGUGAGCUUGCUGGCUGUAAAUCAACAAGUGUGUGGCUACCUGUGUACUCUACGUGGUUGUAGUACGUAGCUAAUUGUUCUCCGUGUGUCUAGCUGAACUGAAGCAGUGUGGCUAGCUGAGGCCUCCGGGCCAUGUAUGUAUGUAUGCCAAUGCCACGUAGCAUGCGCACCGAGCUUACAAGUAGCAAUGGUAAUCAUCAUGUCGCCGUCUUUGUAAGUGCCAUUGUACAUAUGAAUAUGAGGGUAUCACUGUAUCAGUAAUUAUUCGGUAUCACCUGGUAACAGUGACAGUAUAACACGCACUACCCUCCUACAUCUACAUGGCUGACGAAAUUGCAUUACCCUCCUACAUCGUGCGUAUGAAUAUGAAGGUAUCAGUAAUUAUUCGGUAUCACGUGGUAACAG
This 603-nucleotide long non-coding RNA is filed under the name Triticum aestivum (bread wheat). RNAcentral's name for it is "long non-coding RNA (TAES_LNC001873)". The record is from RNAcentral. Lineage: Eukaryota; Viridiplantae; Streptophyta; Magnoliopsida; Poales; Poaceae.